Molecule: long non-coding RNA, 1052 nt
Filed under: Mytilus galloprovincialis (Mediterranean mussel)
Lineage: Eukaryota; Metazoa; Mollusca; Bivalvia; Mytilida; Mytilidae
Source: RNAcentral
UGUCAGAUUUGCUCUAAAUGCUUUGGUUUUUGAGUUAUAAGCCAAAAACUGAAUUUUACCCCUAUGUUCUAUUUUUAGCCGUGGCGGCCAUCUUGGUUGGUUGACCGGGUCACGCCACACAUUUUUUAAACUAGAUACCCCAAUGAUGAUUGUGGCCAAGUUUGGUUUAAUUUGGCCCAGUGGUUUCAGAGGAGAAGGUUUUUGUAAUAGAUUACUAAGAUUUACGAAAAAUGGUUCAAAAUUGACUAUAAAGGGCAAUAACUCCUAAAGGGGUCAACUGACCAUUUCAGUCAUGUUGACUUAUUUGUAAAUCUUACUUUGCUGAACAUUAUUGCUGUUUACAGUUUAUCUCUAUCUAUAAUCAUAUUCAAGAUAAUAACCAAAAACAGAAAAAUUUCCUUAAAAUUACCAAUUCAGGGGCAGCAACCCAACAACAGGUCGUCCAAUUCAUCUGAAAAUUUCAGGGCAGAUAGAUCUUGACCUGAUAAUCAAUUUUACUACAUGUCAGAUUUGCUCUUAAUGCUUUGGUUUUUGAGUUAUAAGCCAAAAACUGAAUUUUACCCCUAUGUUCUAUUUUUAGCCGUGGCGGCCAUCUUGGUUGGUUGACCGGGUCACGCCACACAUUUUUUAAACUAGAUACCCCAAUGAUGAUUGUGGCCAAGUUUGGUUUAAUUUAGCCCAGUGGUUUCAGAGGAGAAGAUUUUUGUAAUAGAUUACUAAGAUUUACAAACUAGAGGCUCUAAAGAGCCUGUGUCGCUCACCUUGGUCUAUGUGAAUAUUAAAGGAAGCAGAUGGAUUCAUGACAAAAUUGUGUUUUGGUGAUGGUGAUGUGUUUGUUCAUCUUACUUUACUGAACAUUCUUGCUGCUUAAAAUUAUCUCUAUCUAUAAUGAACUUGGCCCAUUAGUUUCAGUGGAAAAUGUUAGUAAAAAUUUACAAAUUUUAUGAAAUUGUUAAAAAUUGACUAUAAAGAACAAUAACUCCUAAGGGGGUCAAUUGACCAUUUCGGUCAUGUUGACUUAUUUGUAAAUCUUACUUUGCUGAACAUUAUUG